GAGUUUGAUCAUGAGCUCAGAUUGAACGCUGGCAGGAUGCUUUACACAUGCAAGUCGAACGGCAGCACGGACUUCGGUCUGGUGGCAGGUGGCGAACGGGUGAGUAAUGUAUCGGAACGUGCCUAGUAGCGGGGGAUAACUGCACUUGAAAGCGUAGCUAAUACCACAUACGCCCUUGAGGAAAGCGGGGGACCUUCGGGCCUCGCACUGUGAAGCGGCCGAUAUCGGAUUGGCUAGUUGGUGGGGUAACGGCUCACCAAGGCGACGAUCCGUAGCUGGUUUUGAGAGGACGACCAGCCACACUGGGACUGAGACACGGCCCAGACUCCUACGAGGAGAGCAGCAGUGAAAUUUUGGACAAUGGGGAAACCUGAUCCAGCCAUCCCGCGUGUGCGAUGAAGGCCUUCGGGUUGUAAAAGCACUUUUGGCGGGAAAGAAACGGCACGGGAUAAUACCCCGUCACAACUGACGUACCUGCAGAAUAAGCGCAGCUAACUACGUUCCAACAACCGCGGUGAUGUCACGUAAAGGUCACAAGCGUUAAUCGGAAUUACUGAGCGUAAAGAAAGCGUGCGCAGGCGGUUGGAAGAAGAUGUGAAAUCAGAGCUUAACUUUGGAACUGCAUUUUCGCUACCGAGCUAGGUGUGUCGGAAAGUGGGAAUUCCGCGUGUAGCAGUGAAAUGCGUAGAUAUGCGGAGGAACACCGAUAGCGAAAACAGCCUCUGGGAUAACACUGACGCUCAUGCACGAAAGCCCCAUUAAGAACAAACAGGAUUAGAUACCCUGUUAGUCCACGCCUAAACGAUGUCAACGCGCUAACUGUGGAGCCGCUUCAGGCCUUGGUGGCGCAACUAACGCGUGAGAUGACCCGCCUGGGAAGCCACCGGUCAUAAGAUUAAAACUCAAAAUUGACAGGGACCCGCUGAAGUGGAUGAUGAUGGAUUAUUCGAUGCAACACACAAAAACCAUACCUACCCUUGACAUGUCUGGAAUCCCGAAGAAGAUUUGCAGGAGUACUCGCAGAGAACCGGAGCCACGGGUGCAUGGCUGUCAUCGCUCGUGUCGAGAUGUUGGGAUUACGGUCCCGCAACAGGCGCGACCUUGUCCGUGGAAUUGCUACGAAAAGGGCACUCUAAUGAGACUGCCGGUGAUAAACCGGAGGAAGGUGGGGGAUGACGUCAAGUCCUCAUGGCCCAUAUGGGUAGGGCUUCCCCGCAUCCUUACAAUGAUCAGGACAGAAGAGGUCGCCAACCCGCGAGGGGGAGCCAAUCCCAGAAACCCACGAUCGUAGUCCAGAUCACCAGUCUGCAACUCGACUGCGCGUGAAGUCGGAAUCGCUAGUAAUCGCGGAUCAGCAUGUCGCGGUGAAUACGUUCCCGGGUCUUGUACACACCGCCCGUCACCAUGGGAGUGGGUUUUACCAGAGUAGUUAGCCUAACCGCUGGGAGGCGAUUACCACGACGGAUUCAUGACUGGUGAAGUCGUAACAAGGUA
This 1494-nucleotide ribosomal RNA is filed under the name uncultured Bordetella sp. RNAcentral describes it as "partial 16S-23S ribosomal RNA intergenic spacer". It matches the Rfam family "Bacterial small subunit ribosomal RNA". Lineage: Bacteria; Pseudomonadati; Pseudomonadota; Betaproteobacteria; Burkholderiales; Alcaligenaceae. The record is from RNAcentral.